UACGUAGGAACCCGAGCGUUGUCCGGAAUCACUGGGCUUAAAGGGCGCGUAGGCGGUCCGACAAGUCAGGGGUGAAAUCCUGCAGCUUAACUGCAGAAGUGCCUUUGAUACUGUCGGUCUGGAGGGAGAUAGGGGUGUGCGGAACUCACAGUGGAGCGGUGAAAUGCGUUGAUAUUGUGAGGAACGCCGGAGGCGAAAGCGGCGCACUGGAUCUCCCUUGACGCUGAGGCGCGAAAGCUAGGGUAGCGAACGGGAUUAGAUACCCCUGUAGU
This 272-nucleotide ribosomal RNA is filed under the name uncultured bacterium. RNAcentral's name for it is "partial 16S ribosomal RNA". It matches the Rfam family "Bacterial small subunit ribosomal RNA", at positions 524 to 794 of the family's 1533-position model. The record is from RNAcentral.